Molecule: long non-coding RNA, 1884 nt
Organism: Ctenopharyngodon idella (grass carp)
Lineage: Eukaryota; Metazoa; Chordata; Actinopteri; Cypriniformes; Xenocyprididae
Exons: 3
Source: RefSeq, a predicted model, not a curated record
UAUUUAAAGCUGAACGGAACGUGUGUUCAAACCUGAAGCUUUCCAUGUUGUCAUAGCUGAACGGGUUCUGUCAUCGUCAGUGAGUUGGAGACCAUUUCAACUAUCGCAAAUCACUUGCAAUUUGAAGAAUUUUCUGCGUGACAGUGCCAAAGUACGUGCGAGAACCACGAGAACAACCGCGCCCCCUGCUGAUAUGGGUGUAAAAAUGCUGCAGUGCUUUCCCUUCUACAGACGCUGCAAGGAGAGGUGCAAAAGACAGUGCCCUCCUGAGACGGUAGUAGCAAGUGAAGAGAUGAAACCUCGGUUGUCCUCCACCACCUCCUGGGGCAGUGAAGGGGACAGCGGCAGCAGUCCGAGUUGCCCACAGGCCUAUUUUUCCCACAAGGCUCGUCUCUCACUUCGACACCAGAUGGAUAGCAACAUCAAUGCAGUGGACGCCACAUACUAACUUUGUUCUGCAAGUGGUCCCUGGAGAAUCCUUGAAAGUAAGCAUCAGAUUUACAGCCCUAAUCCAGUUUUAAUCCCUCAUUGGAGAGCUUUUGAGGGGAACUGGAGGAUGAGCCAUUAGGAGGAACAAGCAGCAUGGAAAUUUGCCUCUCCUUGCAUGCCCAUGAACACUCAUGAAUGUCAGCUGUAUGCAUUGUAACAAUGUCAAGAUACGUGUUUGAAGUUUUCUAACAUUAACGGUACAGCUGAGUGUAAUUUGGUAAAAGGGGAAAUUGUGGAACACAAUCUUAGGAGCGACGUUUACAUGAUCACCAACAAGUGCUUUUUUCUAGCUUGUAGCAUCUGCCCUCCACAGUCUCUGCUAUAUAUGCAUCUAUACUAUCUGAACUGGAUGCUUCUGGUUGGUUUUAUCUGAGGAGACUCUGAUAAUCUUAAAGGGAUAGUUCACCCAAAAAUGAAAACUCAUCAUUUAAUCAACCUUAUGUUGUUUUAAAGCACAAGUUUCUUUCUUCUGUUGAACUAAAAUGGAGAUAUUUUAAAGAAUUUUGGUAACCAGACAAUUGACUGUAGCCAUUGACUUCUAUAGUAGCAAAAAAAAAUACAUUUUUGGGUGAACUGUUCCUUUAAGGGAUGUGUUUUGUGUGUUUUGAGCCAGAUAUGAAUUUGUUCAGCAGUCUACCUAUUAUUUUGCCUGUCAAAUUCAACCACGCUUUGCCUCGCUGAUCAUAAAUUCAGUGUAUUGUAAAAGCAUCAAAAUGUUUUUUUUUCUUUCAUAUAAACAGGAAGGUUUCUAAAGGUUAUUUUGCUUUCUAUGUAAGUGCCAUUUUCUCUACCCUACAAGCUGUCCAUUAACAGUGUGCUCUGCUCUAACCGUGUUCAUUUUCAUUAUGUAUAGAUUUCAGGGCUUUCUGAAAUAUGCCCAGUCAUAAACAUUUUUUUUUUUUUGAAAAGUGUUUGUUUCAUGAACUCUAUGUAACAUCAAACUAAUGUAUGAUGAGGGUUUUCCAGUUUCUAAAUCUUUAAAAGGUUUUCUUCCUAUUGUAUGUAUAAAACCAGUCGAGGGAAUGGAUAUUUGUCAUGAUCCACUCAUUGCUUCUGUUUCAACAUGUUUGAAAAACAGGUUUUAGAUGCUAAUGAUGUGCGUCUGGCCAUCUUCACUUUGUCGUGUGCACAUGUAUUAACAUUUGUAUUUUUUUAGAUGUUAAAUAUGUAUUUUUACACCCUGACCCAGAAAAAGAACAGAAGACACUGUUACACCUCUGAAGUCACAAUUAAUCUGAAAGAGAUAUUUUUGUAUGUUUUAUAUGAAACAACGUGUAAAUCAAUUUUCUAAAUAAUAAUAAUAAUGAAAAAGACAGCAAACUAAAUAAUAUAGCACAUGUACUUUUGCUUUCAUUGAUGAUUGUAAAACAAUAAAACUUUGUCAAAAAGAAACAA